This 329-nucleotide long non-coding RNA is filed under the name Centruroides sculpturatus (bark scorpion). RNAcentral's name for it is "uncharacterized LOC111630083". Lineage: Eukaryota; Metazoa; Arthropoda; Arachnida; Scorpiones; Buthidae. The record is from RNAcentral.
UUCAGAUGCAAAAUGGCUUUCAAGAUGUCCGAUAAUUUGCUGUCAGCAAUUUACAUCCUGAAGAAAAGUUAAAAAUCUUAAAUUUCAUGAAAAGAUUUGGGAAAGUGUCCUUGUGUCUCAUGAUCGGUGGUAUUUAUCCAGUUACGAAAAGAAUUCCUUUCAAAGUUGCGAGUAAUUUACAUUCUUUCUUUUCGGCAUUUAUGAAACUAAAAGGAAUAUCGAAAGAAGAAAAAGUCUGCAGCAAUACAACAAACUUGCACUGAGUCGUAAAAAUUCGCCCUUUAAGCAUUGCAUUUAUGUAUCAGUAUUUUAAAAAUUGAAUAAAGUUA